This 964-nucleotide ribosomal RNA is filed under the name Sarcophaga assimilis. Its description in RNAcentral is "eukaryotic LSU rRNA". It matches the Rfam family "Eukaryotic large subunit ribosomal RNA", at positions 120 to 910 of the family's 3401-position model. The record is from RNAcentral. Lineage: Eukaryota; Metazoa; Arthropoda; Insecta; Diptera; Sarcophagidae.
CACUUUGUCUUUAUGGCAAAUGUGAGAUGCAGUGUAUGGAAUGUCAAAUUUCUAGUAUGAGAAAUUAACGAUUUAAGUCCUUCUUAAAUGAGGCCAUUUACCCACAGAGGGUGCCAGGCCCGUAUAACGUUAAUGAUUACUAGAUGGCAUUUCCAAAGAGUCGUGUUGCUUGAUAGUGCAGCACUAAGUGGGUGGUAAACUCCAUCUAAAACUAAAUAUAACCAUGAGACCGAUAGUAAACAAGUACCGUGAGGGAAAGUUGAAAAGAACUCUGAAUAGAGAGUUAAAUAGUACGUGAAACUGCUUAGAGGUUAAGCCCGAUGAACCUGAAUAUCCAUUAUAGAAAAUUCAUCAUUAUGAUUUUAAUAUUAAUAAUAUUAUAAUAAUGGUGUGCAUUUUUUCUAUAAAGGACAUUGUAAUCUAUUAACAUAAAUAUAUUUAUCAUAAGAUCAAUGAUGCGUAAGUUUAUUCAAAUUAUUUUGCUUGCAAUUUAACAUAGAAUAAAUGCUCUUGAUUUGAUAAAGUGUUGAUAGAUUUAUUGUAUAUAGUGCUUAAAUAUUUAUAUUUUAUAAUAGCAUAUUAAUCAUUGAUUUUUAUGUUUAUUAUAUGCACUUAUAUGAUUAACAAUGCGAAAGAUUCAGGAUACCUUCGGGACCCGUCUUGAAACACGGACCAAGGAGUCUAACAUAUUUGCAAGUUAUUGGGUAUUAAAACCUAAUAGCGAAAUUAACAUAACUUUAAUGGGAUUAGUUUUUAGAUUAUUUAUAGUCUAUUAAUUCAAUCCCGGGGCGUUCUAUAUAGUUAUGUAUAAUAAUAUUUAUAUUAUUUAUACCUCUAACUAGAGCGUACCUUGAGCAUAUAUGCUGUGACCCGAAAGAUGGUGAACUAUACUUGAUCAGGUUGAAGUCAGGGGAAACCCUGAUGGAAGACCGAAACAGUUCUGACGUGCAAAUCGAUGUCAGAA